CUGAUAAGUAAGGACCUAACUACCUGGCCCAGCGUGGUUGGUCUCAAAAAUAAGAUUUAGAGAUUUGGAAGUCAUUAUUUUUCAGUGGGAAACAGGAAGAACAGAGUGACAUUCUUCCUUUCACCUGCAAGAACUUUCUCUGUUGUCCCCAUUUUUCACUACUGUCUGCAUGGUGUAAUGUCUUACCUGUGGAAAUACACAGGCUAGAAGAGUAUGAAUAACACACCAGUGUUUUGGCUACUGCUGAGCUUUUCUCGCACACCACCAUGGCUGUUUCUCCAAACCACUACCACCUGGCCCCAAGCCUCAAAACCUGAGGGUGAGGUUGGAAAAAAACAAUAACUGGAUCUGCAAUUCAUCUGAAAAAUGAUUGUGUUAUUGAUAAGUCAACUCCUGCAUGAAUAGAUAUUCACCUUCAAGCCUCCUUAAUUUGUCCUCAUUUUGGAGAUAUGAUAUGUGUUUUCCGGAUGCAGAGGGGAUACUGGCUUUGUUGCUUCUAU
This is a long non-coding RNA of Corapipo altera (White-ruffed manakin), 500 nucleotides long. RefSeq lists it as uncharacterized. NCBI's taxonomy places the organism in Eukaryota, Metazoa, Chordata, Aves, Passeriformes, Pipridae. The transcript has 4 exons. The record is from RefSeq and is a predicted model, not a curated record.